ACCAGUUUUAUUACAAUAGUAAUUUCUUCCUAUCACAUUUGGUGGUUAUCUAUUCACGGGGGAUGUAGGGAAGGGAGGAGGAUCAGCACAGACCGGUGCAUUAAGAUAUAUUACUAUGGAGAAGCUGACACAAGAGUGUGUGGCUGACAGACAGCAGAGAGCUGAGGCAGAGAGCAGAAUAUCCCCAAGUCCAUUAUAACGGUGUCCAACUGACCUUUACAGAAAAUAUGUAAGAACAAUAAAAAAGGGCCUUUGUGGCUCUGGGUGCAGCUCGGAGGUGGUUUUGCAGCCCAUCUCCCAGCAGCUGCUCCUUGCCAUGGCGUGGGAUGCUGUGGGUGAGGUGGGGGAGCUCACAGCACUCCGAGUCCCUCAUAACCACAGCAAGUUUUCUACAUUUGUGCAAAGAGAUAAUCUGUGAUUCAUAACCAUUUAAAUAAAUGGCUAAUCAAUUUCUAUGGGUUGCUAUAGAGCCCAAUAAAUCAAACCCAGGCUGAUUAUAACCAUGGCUUAUAGCCAUCUCAUAAUACCUUCCACUGAUGUGCUUAUAAUAAUCUGUAACAUCCGCUACUGCUGUCGGUAACUCAUUUAAAACACCAGUUACUACUUUUUCAACUUACUAAAAGCGCAGAGAGAGUAAAUAUUCCUCAAUAUCUGUAAACCACGUGACCUUUCCUGGUUGCAAACUUAGGGCUAAAUCGAUGCUCAUCGGAGGCAAGGAAGGAUUCCUUACCUAUGAUGGUAAGGAAGGUGAUAGUAAGGAGGGUGAAGGUAAGGAAGGUGAAGGUAGGGAAGGUGAUGGUAGGGAAGGUGAUGGUAAGGAAGGUGAAGGUAAAGAAGGUGAUGUUUUGCAGCUGGGCUUGGCGAGGAUAGCCCUUUUCCAAGGGAGACAUAGGAGUUCAGAGUCAGAUCCAUCCCUUGGAAGACCCACACCUGAAUUUCUGCUUUCAAAGCCUACACAACAGCAGAGGAAUUAAAAACCUGUGAGCCUGGAUGCUUUCAGAUCCCGCAGCCACCAGGUUUUGCUUUUUUUUGCUCUGCCAACACAUCUAUUUUUUCUCUUUCUGCUUUGACUCACACAACUCUUUGGAAGAAGCUCCAUUGGCUUAAAUA
Long non-coding RNA from Gallus gallus (chicken), 1110 nucleotides. The record is from Ensembl. NCBI's taxonomy places the organism in Eukaryota, Metazoa, Chordata, Aves, Galliformes, Phasianidae.